UGGACGCCGACGCCAAUCCUCCGAAGCUGUCCACUACCACGAUCUCCGCCACUGACGACAUCGCCGCCUCCAUACAAAACCUCGGCAUCGCCGCCCCCUCCUCCUCCUCCCCCUUCAAGCGCAAGCCCGUCAUCAUCAUCGUCGUCGGCAUGGCCGGCAGCGGCAAAACUACCUUCCUCCAGCGCCUCGUCUGCCACACCCAGUCCUCCAACAUCCGCGGCUACGUCCUCAACCUCGACCCCGCCGUCAUGACCCUCCCAUACGGCGCUAACAUCGACAUCCGCGACACCGUCCGCUACAAGGAAGUCAUGAAGGAGUAUAACCUCGG
This 328-nucleotide unclassified non-coding RNA is filed under the name Hevea brasiliensis (rubber tree). Lineage: Eukaryota; Viridiplantae; Streptophyta; Magnoliopsida; Malpighiales; Euphorbiaceae. The record is from RNAcentral.